AGCUGUCACCCAGAACCGCUGGAUGCGCCCGGGAGCUCCCCGCCUCACGCCUGUGCCGGCCUUCCUGGGAUACGCGGAGCGAGUGGAGCCUGCGCAGUUAGCCUCAGAGGACCUCCGUGUGGGAGUCUGCGGGCACCGCCGGUGCUCGUUGCGCCCCUCCGCUCCGAUCGUGGUCUUCCAUAUUGCCGCUGUUUUCCGCUCCGGUUCUGCAGGCUGCGCGCUCUGUUCCACGGCAAACAGGGCUCGCCGCAGAGAUGGUUACCGAGCUCUCAACGUUCCUUUAACGUUUACUUCCUCAGUGCUGUCAAAUUUGCGUUGCAAAUUCAAUAUGACCAAUUUGCUUUCGGAUGCUGACACAGAAAGGCUCAAAAGAGAAUCCUGACAAGACUGGGUCCAUUGAACACUGCAGUACACAAAUACAUGGUAAAAAAAUAUUCAAGAUGCAAAUACAGGCUUAGAAAAUGUGAGUUACAAUUUUUUACUGGCAUCUCUCUAUGCUUAAUAGGAACUCAGCAUUCCAGAAUACUGCAAGAUGUUGCCUUGCAUUUUUGUUUUGAGAGUUCUGCUUGUCCAGAUGAUCAGAUUUCUGCUUUCCUACCUAUUAUUGUGUAUCUACGUCAAUUGUUAGUCAACACUGAAAAUGAUAAUCCUGUGGGAGGUGAAAAUCUGGCACCAGUAUUCCCUCAGCAGUGUGGAUUAGGUUACAGCCCAUCACAUCACCGUACACGUUGUGCCAGUCUAAGAAGGAUUGAAAGAACAAUUAUUAAUAGAAUUAUGAAAAAAAACAAGGCCCAGUUUGGUGGGAUGUCAAGGAAAAAAUCCUGAUAGGAUCAAACCCUCACUGGCACCAGAAACACUUUAUUUUUAAGGACUUGGAAGGUUUCAGUAAGUGAAAGACUGACACCAGGUUGCUACAACAACAUGUGGAAGUCAUGUUGCUGGAGGCCAAAAGACUGAAAACCUUCCACUUUUCCCUACAAUCAAGAAGCAAUGUAUAAAAUAAAAUAAAAAUAAAAUAAAAUAAAAUAAAAUAA
RNAcentral lists this long non-coding RNA (1034 nucleotides) under Parus major (Great Tit). RNAcentral describes it as "lncRNA (ENSPMJG00000005698.1)". The record is from RNAcentral. Lineage: Eukaryota; Metazoa; Chordata; Aves; Passeriformes; Paridae.